This is an RNA transcript of Apis mellifera (honey bee), 1292 nucleotides long. It is a transcript of the gene named tetraspanin-31-A, with no coding region annotated. NCBI's taxonomy places the organism in Eukaryota, Metazoa, Arthropoda, Insecta, Hymenoptera, Apidae. The record is from RefSeq and is a predicted model, not a curated record. The transcript has 7 exons.
UUGACGCCAAAGUUUCGAGAGAUCGAACUCAUUUCAAUAAUUCGAGCCGUUACAGUGCGAGCAGUCGUAAAUUGUCUGUCCUCAGUGAAGGAAUAUCAAGAUAUUUGUUUUUACACCAGUUAACUCACAUGCGUUUUUCUUAUUAAUCCGUGUUAUUAAAGUAUCGAAAUUCUUGGAAUACGGAUUUAAUAAAAUCUCAACAAACUCUCGCGGGUGAAUACGCUAAAGAGAACAAAGACCGUAUACGAAGAUGUGCGGUGGUUUUACGUGUUCUAAAAACGCAUUGACGGCAUUAAAUAUUCUUUAUAUCGUUGUUGCAUUUAUUUUAAUUGGUGUGGCUGUUUAUGGAAGAGCUUCAGCAUUAGUUACAAAUCUUCCUAUUAUUGGAGGUAUUUUAGCAUGUGGUGUUAUUUUGAUUCUAAUUUCUAUAAUUGGUCUGAUUGGUGCUGUUAAACAUCAUCAAGUUCUAUUAUUCUUUUAUAUGUUGAUUUUAUUUCUGUUAUUCUUGAUUCAAUUCAGUAUUGCUUGUGCUUGUCUUGCUGUCAAUGCCAAACAGCAAGAACAAUUAGCAGAACAGGGUUGGAAACAUGCACCAGAAUUAAGAACAAAAGUUGAGGAAACUUUUAAUUGUUGUGGAUUCAAUGGUACUCUUAGUACAUUUAUAAUGAAUACUUCAGAUUCAUUAUCAUGUAAAAAUAAAUUCUGUUCUUGUCAAUAUCCUACAGAUAUUGAUUGUGAAUGUCCAUCUUGUAUGCAAAAAUUACAAUCCACAAUUGAUUAUGCCUUUAAGCUAUGUGGCAGCAUAGGAUUGUUUUUCAGUUUUACUGAAUUUGUUGGUGUUUGGUUGACCGUGCGAUACAGGAAUCAGAAAGAUCCACGAGCUAAUCCUAGUGCUUUCCUCUAGUCUAAUAUCAUCGCUAUGUCCUCUGUCACCUCAUGCGAUCCUCCUAAUAGAUGGUGAUUGCAGCUUUCUUGGCAAAACAUUUUAGAAAUCAACUAAAUCCAUGUUCAAAAACUAUAUUUCCUUAGUAUAAUUUUAUUUACGUAGUUCAUAUACAUUACAUAGUUCAGUUUAAAAAAAAAUUUUUUUUUAAUUGAAAGAUAGAUAAUGAGAUUAAUGAUUUAUAACUAUAAUUCUGGUCAGUUUGAUUAUUUAAUAGCUAAAAGACCUAUUUUUAUUUAACAGUACAAAUAUCAUCUUGCAUACAAUACAAUUUUUGAAAAACUAUUGGUCUUUCACACCGCAAUUUAUAAUGCUCAACAGAAAAAAAAAAAAAAAAAUAGCACAUUUG